GUGGGGAAUAUUGCGCAAUGGGCGAAAGCUUGACGCAGCAACGCCGCGUGAGUGAUGAAGGCCUUCGGGUCGUAAAGCUCUGUCAGGAGGAGCGAACACCCGGCAGGAACAAUACCCUGUCGGUUUGACGGUACCUCCAGAGGAAGCACCGGCUAACUCCGUGCCAGCAGCCGCGGUAAUACGGAGGGUGCUAGCGUUGUUCGGAAUUACUGGGCGUAAAGCGCGUGUAGGCGGAUCCAGAAGUCGGGUGUGAAAGCCCUGGGCUUAACCCAGGAAGUGCGCCCGAAACCAUGGGUCUUGAGGUCCGGAGGGGAUCGGGGAAUUCCCAGUGUAGAGGUGAAAUUCGUAGAUAUUGGGAGGAACACCGGUGGCGAAGGCGCCGAUCUGGACGGAUUCUGACGCUGAGACGCGAAAGCGUGGGUAGCAAACAGGAUUAGAAACCCCAGUAGUCC
This 452-nucleotide ribosomal RNA is filed under the name uncultured bacterium. RNAcentral's name for it is "bacterial SSU rRNA". It matches the Rfam family "Bacterial small subunit ribosomal RNA", at positions 354 to 796 of the family's 1533-position model. The record is from RNAcentral.